UGGCUUAGACACGACGGAGUGAAGCGACCGGAGCUUCUAAGGCUGGUUCUGUGGUACUGUCGUACAACUGGUUCGCAGUGGCGACUUAAUUCUCGCUGCUCUCCUGGUGAAGUCAUUCUGCCUUCACGCAGAAGAGCAUACAGCCUUGUCCAAUUGUCAGUGUGACAGGCUGUACUUGAAGCCUUACCAAUUCAAGUUCCGAUCUACAUCGCUUGAGUUCUUAUGAUUCCUACUUAGUUCAUUUAAAUGUCAACUAUUAAUGACAAUGUGCCAUCGACUGAGACUGUAGCCACCGUUCCAGGUGGGACCGGUGGUGGGUUGGGCGCCAUUGGGUCCUCCCCGCCGGCCGGUGCUGCUAAGACGGGCGCUGCCGUUUU
RNAcentral lists this long non-coding RNA (377 nucleotides) under Volvox carteri. Its description in RNAcentral is "long non-coding RNA (VCAR_LNC003194)". Lineage: Eukaryota; Viridiplantae; Chlorophyta; Chlorophyceae; Chlamydomonadales; Volvocaceae. The record is from RNAcentral.